AAUUCGCCCUUUAGUUGAUCAUGGCUCAGGACGAACGCUGGCGGCGCGCUUAACACAUGCAAGUCGAGCGAGAACCAGUCCUUCGGGGCUGGGGACAGCGGCGAACGGGUGAGUAACACGUGAGUAAUCCACCCCCGACACUGGGAUAGCCCGGGGAAACCCGGAUUAAUACCGGAUAGCCACUUCGGUUUUCGGACCGAAAUGAAAAGGUAGCUUCGGCCUCCGGUUGGGGACGAGCUCGCGGCGGAUUAGCUUGUUGGUGGGGUAAAGGCCCACCAAGGCGACGAUCCGUAGCUGGUCUGAGAGGACGAUCAGCCACACUGGGACUGAGACACGGCCCAGACUCCUACGGGAGGCAGCAGUGGGGAAUCUUGUGCAAUGGGCGAAAGCCUGACACAGCGACGCCGCGUGAGGGAAGAAGGCCUUCGGGUUGUAAACCUCUUUCAGGAGGGACGAAGCUACUCGGGUUAAUAGCCCAGAGGGUGACGGUACCUCCAGAAGAAGCCCCGGCUAACUACGUGCCAGCAGCCGCGGUAAUACGUAGGGGGCAAGCGUUGUCCGGAUUUAUUGGGCGUAAAGAGCGUGUAGGCGGCCAGAUAGGUCAGCUGUGAAAACUCGAGGCUCAACCUCGAGACGUCGGUUGAAACCAUCUGGCUAGAGUCCGGAAGAGGAGAGUGGAAUUCCCGGUGUAGCGGUGAAAUGCGCAGAUAUCGGGAAGAACACCCGUGGCGAAGGCGGCUCUCUGGGACGGUACUGACGCUGAGACGCGAAAGCGUGGGGAGCGAACAGGAUUAGAUACCCUGGUAGUCCACGCCGUAAACGAUGGGUGCUAGGUGUGGGGGGUGUCGACUCCCCCCGUGCCGAAGCUAACGCAUUAAGC
This 880-nucleotide ribosomal RNA is filed under the name uncultured bacterium. Its description in RNAcentral is "bacterial SSU rRNA". It matches the Rfam family "Bacterial small subunit ribosomal RNA", at positions 1 to 865 of the family's 1533-position model. The record is from RNAcentral.